AUUGAACGCUGGCGGAAUGCUUUACACAUGCAAGUCGAACGGCAGCACGGACUUCGGUCUGGUGGCGAGUGGCGAACGGGUGAGUAAUACAUCGGAACGUGCCCAAUCGUGGGGGAUAACGUAGCGAAAGCUACGCUAAUACCGCAUACGAUCUAAGGACGAAAGCGGGGGAUCGCAAGACCUCGCGCGAUUGGAGCGGCCGAUGGCAGAUUAGGUAGUUGGUAGGGUAAAGGCCUACCAAGCCGACGAUCUGUAGCUGGUCUGAGAGGAUGAUCAGCCACGCUGGGACUGGUACACGGCCCAUACUCCUACGGGAGUCAGCAGUGGGGAAUUUUGGACAAUGGACGCAAGUCUGAUCCAGCCAUUCCGCGUGCAGGAUGAAGGCCCUCGGGUUGUAAACUGCUUUUGUACAGAACGAAAAGGCUCUGGUUAAUACCUAGGGCUCAUGACGGUACUGUAAGAAUAAGCACCGGCUAACUACGUGCCAGCCGCCGCGGUAA
This 500-nucleotide ribosomal RNA is filed under the name uncultured bacterium. RNAcentral's name for it is "partial 16S ribosomal RNA". It matches the Rfam family "Bacterial small subunit ribosomal RNA", at positions 30 to 523 of the family's 1533-position model. The record is from RNAcentral.